UCACAAAUAUUAAAUAAAAUCAGAUAUUACGACCAAUAGUUUAAAAUUUAAAGAUUCUGGCGGUGUUCUAUAAAACCAGGGGAACCUGUUUUAUAAUUCGAUAGUCCACGACUAGCUAACCCUCGUUUGAAAAAUCAGCUUGUAUACUGCCGUUUUAAGCUUACCUUUUAAAAGUAAGUAAGCCACAAUGAUAAAGAUUUUUUUUUUUUUUUCAUAUACAUCAGGUCAAAGUGCAGCUAAUGUGAGGGAAAAUAAUGGGUUACAAUCCUGAAAUGGAAUGAAUUAUAGAUUGAAAAUCUUUAUGAAAUCGGACUUGGAGGUAAUUGUUGAUUAAUAAAAAUAAAUGAAUAUUUAUUUAGGACAUGUACAUAUCGCCC
RNAcentral lists this ribosomal RNA (377 nucleotides) under Digaster sylvaticus. RNAcentral describes it as "partial 12S ribosomal RNA". It matches the Rfam family "Bacterial small subunit ribosomal RNA", at positions 875 to 1395 of the family's 1533-position model. The record is from RNAcentral. Lineage: Eukaryota; Metazoa; Annelida; Clitellata; Crassiclitellata; Megascolecidae.